AAAGAGCACCAAUUAUGCUAAUAAAUUGGCACGUUAGCACGUUAUUGCAAUAUCCCAUAGUACAUACAUGUUAUUAAAACUUGAACUAAUGCAUUGUGAGUCUUAUAAAUUGCUUACAUACCUCACCGAUUUCCCACUGUCUGGAAAACGCUCGGUUUAGUUCCUGUCUCCGCCUCCCAAAAUGUCUAGUGUAAUCGGAUUGGUCAGAUGACUACUCAACUGUUAUUGGUCAGCUGGGUUCAGCGUGUGUUUGAAAGGUUACGCCCCUGACUACGCGUGGGUUGACACAGAUUCUGACUGAGAGUCACAGCCUCAGAGGCAACGUAAACAAGCGCUAUAUUUCUCUAUAAACGAUGGUGUCUGUACUGCCUUACCACUUCGAGCUCGAUCCAGAGAGUUCAGAAGGCCGUUACGAUAUAAACGAUCUCCGUCAAUGAAUGCGAUUGGAUUUAACUUUUUUAGGUGUCCUUAGCUCUGCCAGAAUGCUAAACGAAGACGAAAAUGUGUUGCAAAGACAUCCAAAAGGUUUUAAGGAGAAUGCAACAGGUUCCAGGGCCUCUUACCUGCAUGAUUCAUCAUCCAGGUUUUGCACAAAUUGUCUAAAUCCCUACACACAGAACAUUUAUUGUACCGACUAUAAGCCUUUGAGGCGCAGGACUAGAAUACGCUUGGAGCUUCCUGAUCGGAAUGUUGGCUUCCGACGAUCCCUGCACUGAAGAUGGCAUGCAAUCACGUCCUCCUUUGAAGGUCUCU
Paramisgurnus dabryanus is the source of this 753-nucleotide long non-coding RNA. RefSeq lists it as uncharacterized. The record is from RefSeq and is a predicted model, not a curated record. NCBI's taxonomy places the organism in Eukaryota, Metazoa, Chordata, Actinopteri, Cypriniformes, Cobitidae.